Molecule: unclassified non-coding RNA, 478 nt
Filed under: Hevea brasiliensis (rubber tree)
Lineage: Eukaryota; Viridiplantae; Streptophyta; Magnoliopsida; Malpighiales; Euphorbiaceae
Source: RNAcentral
AAUUUUUUUCUUCUUUUGAUCGAAGCCAGAAAUUGUUAUAAUCGAUUGUGGAUUAAGGACUGUGGAAUUGAAAUGGAUUCUGGUGAUUGGAGAACUCAACUUUUUCCCGAAUCGCGUCAAAGGAUUGUCAACAAGAUAAUGGAGACCUUGAAGAGGCAUCUUCCUGUUUCUGGGCAACAAGGAGUAGAGGAGCUUAAGAAAAUUGCUGUAAACUUUGAAGAAAAGAUCUAUUCGGCUGCUACAAGUCAGCAAGAUUAUCUUAGGAAGAUAUCUUUAAAGAUGCUGACCAUGGAGACAAAAUCUCAAAAUUCUGGGAGUAGUGGUCAUAAUGCCCUUAGUCCAGGUGAACAAUGAAGUCUCAUGUGCUGUAUUUUAAUAGGGAAAUAUCUUGUUUGACAGGAUGUUUUGUAUAAACUUAAUGACUUCAUAGAUUAUGUUUUCGUAGAACUUGAUAAAUUAUGUUUUUAUAUGAUUGAUU